RNAcentral lists this ribosomal RNA (403 nucleotides) under uncultured eukaryote. RNAcentral's name for it is "SSU rRNA". It matches the Rfam family "Eukaryotic small subunit ribosomal RNA", at positions 592 to 999 of the family's 1831-position model. The record is from RNAcentral.
CAAUAGCGUAUAUUAAAGUUGUUGCGGUUAAAAAGUUCGUAGUUGGAUUUCUGUGAAGGAUAACCGGUCCGCACUAUGUGCGUGUAUCUGUUUGUCCUUUGCAUCCUCGCGGAAUACGUCACUGUGCUUCACUGCAUGGGCGGGCUUCGCGACUUUACUUUGAGGAAAUUAGAGUGUUCACGGCAGGCUCACGCCAUGAAUAUAUUAGCAUGGAAUAAUAAUAUAGGACCUUGGUUCUAUUUUGUUGGUUUCUAGGGCUAAGGUAAUGAUUAAUAGGGACAAUUGGGGGCAUUCGUAUUAACGCGUCAGAGGUGGAAUUCUUGGAUUGCGUUACGACGAACUACUGCGAAAGCAUUUGCCAAAGGAUGUUUUCAUUUGAUCAAAAGCGAAAGUAAGGGGGAUC